AAGUCGUAACAAGGUUUCCGUAGGUGAACCUGCGGAAGGAUCAUUAAUGAAACUUGAAUUCGUACUAUUGAGAACUGUUGCUGACCUGUUAAAGGGUAUGUGCACGUUCAAAGUCUUACGCGUUCUGUUCUAAUCCACCUGUGCACCUUUGUAGACUUGGUUAAGCUUUGCUUUCGGGUUGCUUGCUUUCGAGCUAAGCUUCCUUUGUUGUUUAUCUUACCAAGUCUAUGUCUAUAAACUUUUGUAUGUUUAGAAUGUCUUGUUUAUCGGACGCAAGUCCUUUAAAUGUUAUACAACUUUCAACAACGGAUCUCUUGGCCCUC
This 323-nucleotide unclassified non-coding RNA is filed under the name Armillaria mellea. RNAcentral describes it as "partial internal transcribed spacer region". The stretch from base 1 to 46 matches the Rfam family "Eukaryotic small subunit ribosomal RNA", at positions 1786 to 1831 of the family's 1831-position model. Lineage: Eukaryota; Fungi; Basidiomycota; Agaricomycetes; Agaricales; Physalacriaceae. The record is from RNAcentral.